This 440-nucleotide ribosomal RNA is filed under the name uncultured bacterium. Its description in RNAcentral is "partial 16S ribosomal RNA". It matches the Rfam family "Bacterial small subunit ribosomal RNA", at positions 338 to 795 of the family's 1533-position model. The record is from RNAcentral.
CCUACGGGAGGCAGCAGUAGGGAAUAUUGCUCAAUGGGGGAAACCCUGAAGCAGCAACGCCGCGUGGAGGAUGAAGGUUUUCGGAUUGUAAACUCCUUUUGUUAGAGAAGAAAAUGACGGUAUCUAACGAAUAAGCACCGGCUAACUCCGUGCCAGCAGCCGCGGUAAUACGGAGGGGGCAAGCGUUACUCGGAAUCACUGGGCGUAAAGAGGGCGUAGGCGGGAUAGCAAGUCAGAUGUGAAAUCCUAUGGCUUAACCAUAGAACUGCAUUUGAAAUUGUUAUUCUAGAGUAUGGGAGAGGUAGGUGGAAUUCUUGGUGUAGGGGUAAAAUCCGUAGAGAUCAAGAGGAAUACUCAUUGCGAAGGCGACCUGCUAGAACAUAACUGACGCUGAGGCGCGAAAGCGUGGGGAGCAAACAGGAUUAGAUACCCGUGUAGUC